Molecule: long non-coding RNA, 1101 nt
Organism: Homo sapiens (human)
Lineage: Eukaryota; Metazoa; Chordata; Mammalia; Primates; Hominidae
Gene: KCNQ5-AS1
Product: KCNQ5 antisense RNA 1
Source: Ensembl
GUGAAAGUGGAAAAGAAACAGUGGGAGGAAUGAGAGGCAAGAAGCAGCGGGUAGCACUUUUCUCGGUAUCAAAGAGACGUGAAACUAGGCUACUUAAUUUUUUUUCUUGUAAAAAAAGAACUUCCAGUUUCCCAAGACGCAACAUUGAAUUCAAUCAGAGGUAAAGAUUCUGGACUAUUGGAUUAAAUGAGGAGGCAGGAGCUACUAUCUCUUGCAGUGUGAAACCAGGGCCGGGGAUGAAGAUAUGGACACAUCUCAGCUUUCCAGGGAUGCUGUGAUGUGGGUGAGCAUGAGCUUUGUCUAUGGGCUGAAUUGCAUCCCUCCAAAAUUCAUAUGUUAUGGUCCUAACCCCUAGUACCUCCGAAUGCGACUGUUUGGAGAUAGGGUCUUUAGAGAUGUUAUUAAAUUAAAAUGAGGUUAUUAGAGUGGCUCCUAAUCCAAUAUGAUUGGUAUCCUUAUAAGUAGAGGAAAUUUGCACAUGGCUGGGUACAGAGAAAAGUCUAUGUAAAGACUCAGGGAGAAGACCAUCUAAAGCCAAGAAGAAAGCCUUCAGAAGGAACCAACCCUGCUGACACCUUAAACUUGGCCUUCUAGCCUCUAGACUGUGAGAAAAUAAAUUUUUGUUGUUUAAGGCAUCUAGUACUUUGUUAUAGCAGCUUGAGCAAACUAAUACAAGUUCCAUUUGUAGUAGAAGCUAUUAAACAUCAUUACAUAGUCUAUGUCUGCACUCAACAAAGACUGGUUCCCACCAUUAAGACAAGCUGCUCCUUCUACCACUUGGGAGGAAAUCAGCUUAAGGAAAGGUGUUAGAAAUAUUAGGAAAUACAGAUUAAAAAAUGAAGAAACAAAAUAUAACUGUGAUCUCACCACUCAAAGAAAGGAUGUACCCAUUUAUAUUCAGCAAGCCUAUUUUGAGUGCAACAUAAAGCCCUGUCACUGGUAACUCUUGACUCAGCUGCUCAAGGGCUUUCAGCCAAAAUCCUAGGAGGAGAGUGAGGAAACUAGAGGACACUGAAAAGCUGUGCCACAAGUGACUCAGAUCCUGCAAGUGGCUCGAUGGAGGAGUGUCCCGUGUUGGUGGCGGAGGUUUUUCCUUCCUUA